ACAUAAGCAAGGGAGACAAAGUCUUUCUGAUUGCUCUGCUUGUAUUUAUUUCCUUCUUAAUGAGUGUGUAAAAAAAAAAAAAAUUGAUAUUCUGUUUGUCACGAUAGUUUUCAUCGAAGAUUUCUUUCCUAUCUGAUCUUUGAUUUUAAGAACAGAAGCUACUGAUACGCUUAAGGUGUUUCAUACUGCCAGUGAGCGAAUCAUUACAGAACUGGAAUUGUACAACUAUA
RNAcentral lists this unclassified non-coding RNA (230 nucleotides) under Hevea brasiliensis (rubber tree). Lineage: Eukaryota; Viridiplantae; Streptophyta; Magnoliopsida; Malpighiales; Euphorbiaceae. The record is from RNAcentral.